This 446-nucleotide ribosomal RNA is filed under the name uncultured soil bacterium. RNAcentral describes it as "bacterial SSU rRNA". It matches the Rfam family "Bacterial small subunit ribosomal RNA", at positions 26 to 518 of the family's 1533-position model. The record is from RNAcentral.
AGAGCGAACGCUGGCGGCAGGCCUAACACAUGCAAGUCGAACGGACCCUUCGGGGUUAGUGGCGGACGGGUGAGUAACACGUGGGAACGUGCCUUUUGGUUCGGAAUAGCUCCUGGAAACGGGUGGUAAUGCCGAAUGUGCCCUUCGGGGGGAAAGAUUUAUCGCCAUUAGAGCGGCCCGCGUCUGAUUAGCUAGUUGGUGAGGUAAAGGCUCACCAAGGCUACGAUCAGUAGCUGGUCUGAGAGGAUGGCCAGCCACAUUGGGACUGAGACACGGCCCAAACUCCUACGGGAGGCAGCAGUGGGGAAUCUUGCGCAAUGGGCGAAAGCCUGACGCAGCCAUGCCGCGUGAAUGAUGAAGGUCUAGGAUUGUAAAAUUCUUCAGUAGGACGAUAAUGACGGUACCUACAGAAGAACGACCCGGCUAACUUCGUGCCAGCAGCCGAC